UCAUCCCAUUGCUUUCCGGAUUCUGUUCCUGAUUUAAAAAAACACACACCACCAAAUAUAAAGACUUCACAAGGUGGUUAGCGGCCACAUUUGAACUUCAAAAGGGGAGCGGACUCGUCUAACCAGGCACACACGUGGAAACACCUAAAGAACAGCACUGGAGCAAAAGACAGUCAGGUCUCCGUUCCCAGGGCACUGGACUUGAAAUCGCCAUUCGGAGGAAUCAAAGGUUUCCAGUUUUGCAGUCCAGUGAAGAACGCUUUGAAAGGGGGAAAUCACAAAAGGAUCAGAAGAAGACAACCAAUCCACACACAUUAAUAAAGAGAUCACACCCAAUUUGGGGGCAAAUAUAUAUGACGUGGCUGAAGAAAAUGAAAAAUAUGCAGUACUAUUGAAGAAACUCUAUCCCUGGCUGCCUUUGCCACAAAGUGACUCAAGAGACUGCGUCACGCAGUGGUCAGUGUGGCUGCUGGAUUUGGAGGUGGAGAAUACUUUGCCCUACGGUCCAGCAUCCGGUGUUUUGGCUUCUUGGCACCAGCAAGAAGGACGUCAUCUGAUGUGGAAAGCCAUUGCGAUGAGAGACGCACCGAUCCAGGCAGGAUGAGGAAGGAGAGGCCGGCCAGCCCAGGAGGACCAUAAAGCAGGAAGAGAGGUCAAGGUGCUGGUUGCAGUUGAGAUACAGAUCAAAUGAGGAAAACAAAAGGUCCUGGCCUCAAGGAGAUUACAAGGUGCAUCUACUAGCAAAAUGGCCUUCAAAUGGUGGGGAAAUGACUGCUGCAGCAUGGCCCGGCUUGUUUGCGUGAACCUGGAAAGUUCAAAUAUGCAAAUAGGGUGGAGGGAGAGGAUUGGUCUACUACUGGCUUCAGAUGCCAAAGGGCCCUUAAUUCUGCCCUGAGAGAAUCUUUUCCACACAGCUGUUCUUAGGGGAAUGGAGGAUUUGUGUGACCAUCUUCCCGGUGAAACAUCACAAGUUCUCCAAACACAGUUUCUGUCCCUCCUGGUUUUCUGACAGUAUACCCCUUUCCUACACUGAUGAAGCUGUUCAGGAGAAGGUGAAUGGGACAGAUGUUGCUCACAGACAUAUGAAACAUUGUUUUAGGCAAUGUGGAAGAGGUUGUACCACUGAUACUGCUUUAUAGAUCAAUUUGUCUUCUGUGGAGCUUGGAGGCAUAAUUUCCUCCAAGAAUGUGCUUUUCUUUGGUCACUAUUGGAAGUUUCCCCCCUUCCCACUUCCUUUAAAUCUUACUUUUGGAAUUUUGUAAGGCAAAACCAUCUUCUUUGGAUCCUAAAGUGGUUUUGUAUCAAUUGUGCAUGGAAAAAAUGAAAAAAAGUAACUCUGGGCAGUUUCAUUUAGCAUAAAAUCUUGUGUGCAGAGACUGUUUUCAAACGCACUAACUCAAACCACACGGAUGUGCAACAAAUUCUUAAACUAUGGACAUUGACACAUGGUUUUUAUUAUGACCCACAUAAAGCUGAAGUAUAAUAGAGCAGCCUUUGGUGAUAAAACCAAGUGGUGCAAAGAUUAAAAUGUAUUCUGAGGUCUUGA
Molecule: long non-coding RNA, 1546 nt
Organism: Hemicordylus capensis (graceful crag lizard)
Lineage: Eukaryota; Metazoa; Chordata; Lepidosauria; Squamata; Cordylidae
Exons: 5
Source: RefSeq, a predicted model, not a curated record